GCGCGCGCCGACGCAUCCUUCUCUCACGCGUCCAAUCAGGAAUGUGUGGUGGGAGGGCCACGGGUUAAUUACUAGAUACCUUUAGUCCAGGUUGACCCGGGAGUUUGAAGUUUUCGGUGGAGCAGGUGAAUGAUAUUGACUCGUCUGCGGGUCUGGGCUGGUUAAUCAGUGGGAGGAGGUGCCCCUCUAAAUGGGAACGGUCAUUUUAAAUAGUACCGGGCGGACCGCUGAUCAGCGCUCCCACGUGCGGAAAUCUAGUGCUAUUCUGACCCUAGGGGCUUAGAGGGUCUACCCUGGGAAGAGCGCCACCACUGACCAGGCCCCAGAAUUAGAGCCGACUAGAAACCGAGCUCAACUGUGAAUUGAUUAGGGUGGAGGAAAGGGAGAUUGGGGCAGGCUGUUUACUUGCCUCUGUAGUCAACGGUCACCAUCCGCCAGGGUUAGGUGUGGGAAUAGGCUUUUUCUUUCUGUUGCUGUUUCAGUCCUUAGAGUCAGAAAGUUGCAAAACUUACUCAAGAAAUCAGAGUUUUGGAUCAGAAAAACUAAUAUCCAGGGGAAUAAAUAUAAGGACAGGGUUGCCUGUUUUAAUCUGCCGAUGAAAAGAAUGAAGAAGGUGAUUUUGCUUUCUAGUAUGUCCUUCAGGCAAAGGGUAGUAAGACAUUAAAAGGAGCCAAGGUACAAGAAUGGUACAAAACAGUUCAAAGGGAACUUACAAUAUCCAGAAGGUCCACAGAGAAAAAUCCCAGAGAAGCUAAUUUGUACUACCCUAAUAUAAACAAGCUUCAGCAUGAAAGUAUAAUGGACCAUGUUAAUGCUUUGAAUUAAUGAGCACAGCAGACUGGGACAAAUUUGAGGUCAGAGUUCUUUAUUUUUUUGUACCACAAACCGUGUUAGCAGUCUGAUUAAACCAUGGACUCUUCUCAGGAUAGUGUUUUAAACGUAUACAAUAAAAUGCAUAGCAUUGCAAAGGAAAAAACUUUGAAAUAGAGUCUCAAAAUACUAAAAACAAAAUUUUAAUAUAGGAAUAUAUGAGCUUUAUUAACACAGUAAAAUCUAGUGGUGGGUCUAAUAAAGACGAAAUUUUUGAAAUAAUGAUGAAUGUAAAAUUUCCAGAGUUUGCAACAGUUGUAAUGUGAUAUAGAGAUCUGUGAUUCCUAUUGGAGAUACAGACAUAGGUGUAGCUCUUUGUGGCUUUACAUUCAUAAUUGAAGGAAAUGCUAAUUUUCCGUUAGAGAUCAGUAAAAAUAAAGAUGUAAUUUUUUUUUCCCAUUAAAGUUCACACACACCCUGAAUUCUAUCCAUGGACUUAAUGUUAAAAAAUCUUGGGUGGAAUCAGGUAGACCUAUUCCUGUUGGUAAGCUCUGAAGGGAUUGUGAAAUUUUAACACAGAAACAUAAUUGAUACUCAUAAUAACAGUGAUUUAUUAAGAAGACGUUUACCACCAGUAUACUCUUGUAAAGAAGGCAUGGAAAUGUGUAAUAGAUUUAAGAAAUAAAUUUACCCCAUUUGUUGAUUUCUUGGAUUUUUUUUUUUUUUUUUUUUGGAUACCUAUAAAGGUAGUACCCUAUGGAAAAUUUACCUAUCCAGAAUGAUUCAUUUCGCAAGCAUUCUGGAUAACUUAGGUUUUACUGUAUCACUCUUAUUACAUGUCUUUACAAAUAAGAUGUAGAAGAAUUGCAGUGAAAAUAAUAACUAAAGAUGAAAGAAAUAAAAAUACUGUAUAUUUAAAAUUCUUGAUAACAAGUGUUAAUAAUUAUUAUUUGAAGUACUAUGUGCUGGGCCCUUUAAUUCUUUAUAUCAUCAGAUCCCCAUUAUACAGAUGAAACAUUCAAGGUCAUACAGUUACUAAGUAGUACAGCCAGGAUUUUACCCUAGGCAGUCUGACCUCAACGAUCUCAUUCUUUUUAAAUUGAAAUGUAGUUGAAAAGCUCUCACUCUUAACUACUAAGGUGUUUUCACUUGUAACUACUAAGGUGUUUGAUUAUUUUUUUACCCUUUGACUAUUAGCCAACAUUAAUUUGCCCACUAGUGUAACAAAUAAAUAUUCGCUGCCUCAAAAUAUUUCCACCCACUGUCUGAAAGGAAUUUUCUAAAUUCUUCCUUUGCUGUGGUAUUGUUUAUAUCCAAUGCCACCUUUAAAAUAAGUGGGCUACCAGUUGGGGCUGGAAAAUGGUUUCUUUUACAGAAAUUGUUGUUGUAAUAGAGUUUUGCUUAGAAGAUGAAGAAAUCCACUCAUACCUUUCUCUACCCUACAAACAUACUUUCAUAAAUGAAAUUAAAUCUUUGUUUUGUAAUGGUGCUGCUAUAUUUUUAUAUUUACCAUUAUCAGGAUUAUGGAGGAAAUGACUGUGUUUAAAUAAAUCCUGAUACAUGAAGUUCUAGAUUAUUCAUGUUUAAUGAAGGGAAGUGAUUAUGUAAUUCCAAAUUCCUUUUUUUGGCACUGAAGUGAAUUUAUUGGUUGAUUACGCUUUCUGCUUUGUUUGUAUUUACACUAGCAAACUUACAUUUCUACUCAGUUUUGCUAAGGUUAAAAUUAAAAGGACCAUGGUCUAGAAGUAUUUUGAUGUUUUAGGAGGCAGUUUAGGGUUAGCUCAAACUUUAAAACGCUAUUCACGUAUCUAGUAUUAUAAGGAAUGCAUUUUAGUUGCAAAUAAAGUUAAAGCUGACUUUCAUUCAUUUUACCUAUUUGAAUUAUAUGAUAGAAAUGUCUCCAUCUGAAAAAAGAAAGGAAAAUAAUCUUUUUUUAUAUUGCAGUGUGCAAUGUGCUAAAAAAAAUUAUGGUUUUAUAUACUGCAGCAACAUUUUACAUUCAGAAAUUAAUAAAGGUACAAAUUAGGAAAUGGUACUUUAUUUCAUGCUAAGAGCAUCAUUUUGACCUUAAAUUAAGAUGGGUUUUGGCACAUAAUGAAUCUUGCAAAAAUGUUGAAGCUAAAAAUAAAUUUGAGCAUUUUCCACAGAAAAAUUGUAUGCAUGAAUGUUCAGAGUAGUAGUAUUCAUAAUAGUCAAAAGUGGAAACAACCCAAAUGUCCAUCAGGUGAUAAUGGAUAAAUAAAAUGUGGUGUAUCCAUAUGAUGGAAUAGUACUAGUUAAUAAGCAAAACCAAAAUACUGAUCCUGCUACAACAUGUAUCUAGAUGAAAAAAGCCAGGCACUUAAAGGCCAUGUAUAAUUCCAUUCAUAUGAAAUGACUAGUAGAUUACUUGGUUGUCAGAAAUUAGGAGGAGGGGGAAGGGGAAUGACUGCUAAUGAGUAUGGGUGUUUUUGGGGGGGAGGGUGAUAAAACGUUCUAAAGUGAGAUAAUGGUGAUGGUUACACAACUCUGUGAAUAUACUAAAACCCACUGAACUAUACACUUUAAAAGAGUGAAUUUUAUGGUAUGUGAAUUACCUUAAUGUAGUUUUUUUAAAAUAAUGAAUUAGAACCAAAAUGUGAAAUCAGCCUGAAAGCUUAUUACCAAAUAUUUUCAAUAUCUCAUAGUACUUUUCAGGUCUCUGAUGAUAAAUGAGAUAUGGCAUCCUCAUGAGAUACAGCAUCUUUGUAAAAUGUAAAAUAUUUACAGCCAGCAGGAGAUUUUUCCUUCAGUACAAACAAUGUAAUUUAGAUUCAGUUUUAAUAUAAUAACAAGCAUUUGCUGUCAAUUAGUCUUAAAUUUGGAGGCAUUUUCAUCAAUAUUACUUGCUUUAUGAAACAUAGUAAUUAAAAUUAAUUUUAAAUAGCAUUGUAUUUUAUUGAAAAUUAAAGUUCAUAAUUAUGACCAGAAAUAGAAUACAUCUGAUUUUGAUAUACUGUAAAUAUAGAAACAUUUCUUUACAAUUUCAAAUAAAAUCAGGUAGUUUGAAAAUUGGGGGUAGAUUAUCUAGAUAAAGAAUUUGACAAAACUAAAACAACUCAGUAAUGAGUUUGAUGUUCUUUAUUCAAGGGAAAACAAUCUAUGGAUGUUUCUACAGUGUCUCAUAAGCACUGCAACACUCUUUCCCUUCCUGAGGGAUUUUGGUCAAGAGUGAGUUUUAUACAGUGUUAGAAGCUGUAUUGCCUUAACGGCAUGACUGCCCAGGAGGUUGGGGAUUUCCUUAUAAGGCCAGCAAGUCCUGUUUUCUAGGGUCAGGUGAGCUAGCUAAGCUGAACUGCAGGAUCGUGAUUGCUAUAUGUUAGGUUUCUUUGACAAGUGUUUCAUAUAAGUGCAGGCUGACUUAGAUUUAGGUUUGUGGCUUGGGCUGGGCCACUGGAGUGGCUUCCAAUUUUUGGGUUCUGAUAUACAAAUUAACUUUAAAAGUACUUAAGUAAAAAUAAGGAAUUCAAAUUAAAAUUACUUCCCAACAAUAAUUAUAAUCUUUGUUUCAAUAAUAUUCUAAAAAAUCUAAAGUAAACAGAGAUUGAGACCAGAAAUGACCGUUGUUGUACCCAUAUUGAAUUUGAUUGUUUUAAAUAUAUGUGAGAAUUCUGUAGUAAGAUAGUGCUGAUAAAUUUUAAAUUCUGCUUUUAAAGAAUUUAAAUUAGGAUUAAUUAUCCAAAUGUUGAACAUAGUGGUUUUAAAGGGUCAGAUCUAUAUAGUGUCUGAGUGGCUUAAUGGAAACAUUUAUGUGAGGCUUUUAGUUUUUAAUACAUACUAUCUAGUACUUGUUGAUUUUUUCAUUGCAAGGAAGCAGUGAUUUAACAUAUGGCACAAUAAGAAACAAUGAAACUUACUAAGAAACACUCCCCUACAUCUAAAAAAAUCUUGAAGAAUUUGGCUUGUUUGGUGUCGAAGAAGUGUUCAACUGUUGCAGAGAUCCCAUCAUUAAAGCAUAGUAAAUCUCAAAGUUAAUGACUAAGUGAUGUGAAUGGACUUUAUCAUAUAUACCUAAUAAGAACGAUAUGAUACAGAUUCCCCAUCUUACCAAAAGACCUAUACAAAAAAGAACCCUGGGUGCUACAAUGCUUGAAAUUCAAUUCUCCAACAAUUUAAACAAAAAGAUUAAGAUAUGAUUAGAUAUUCACAGACUUGUGUGAAUUUAGCUUUUCCUUGUUUUCUUUCUUUCUAUUCUGCACUGAUGGAGAGAAGAGGAUGAUUACUCUGGACCACUUUAAGGGUAGGGCUAAAUGCCUGCCCCUGGCUUGGAUAGGGCUAUAAUUCGGGACAACAAGCAAGAACUCCCAAGUUUUUAGCUUGGUACAGUGUUACACAGGCAAGGACUAUACUUCCGAGCCACCACUGGAGCUGCAGCGACGUGACUACAUUUUGGUCCAUGGACUGUAAGUGGAAAUGAUGACUAAAACUUCUGUGACAUGCCCUUAAAAAGAAGAGGUAUGCUGUUUUUCCAUUUCCCAUUCCCAGAUGUAUCAGGAGCUGGAACAGCCAUCUUGGGCCAUGAAACAGAAGCCACAUAUUGAGUGCAGCAGAUUAACCAGCCAGAGGGAGCCUGGGCCCUGAACACCUGAGGCUGCGCUGUCAGUCUUGAACUGAUUAUUCCUGGACUGUUUCAGAAGAGAAAAAAAUAAACUUCCAUUUUGUUUAAGUCAUUAUUAUUUUGCCCUUAAAGCAACCAAACCUAUAUCCCAAGUAAUAUUUAUUUUCCAUUAUUUCCUCCAUAUAAUUAUAUACAAAUACACAUGUGUGUAUAUAUUUACAAAUAAAAAUAUUUUCAGUGUAAACAUGCACACACAAAUAUGCAAACAUUUAUGUGUGUUGAUGAUGAUGUUUUAUAGACUGGGAUCAUAUUAUACACACUUUUCUUUAUCUUGUUUUUUCUCAUUAGCAUAGUAUCUAGUGGAAAUCACAAUUCAACUCAUAUUGUUUUAUUUUAUUCCUUUUGAUAGGAUGCAUAAACUGUAAUCCACUCAGCCAUUUUCCUAUUAAUGAGCUUAUACUUUGUUACUUGUUUUUUGCUACUAUGGAUGAUGCUGCAAUGAAUACUCUUAUAGAUAGAUCCUUAUGUAUUUAUUUCUGUAAGACAGAUUCCCAAGAAUGAUACAGCUAAGACAAAUCAUAUCUGUAGUUUAAAAAAUUUUAACACAGGUUGCCAGACUGUUUUGCAAAUAGGUUGAAAAAGUUCACAUUUAAACCAGCAAUGUUUAAUACCCUUUUACUUGGAUCCCUACCAGCAGUAGGUGUUAUUGGUUAUUUAACAUUUUGCCCAAUCUGAAAAGAUGUUUCACUUCACUUAGAAUAGGAGAAAUGCACAAUAAAACUAUACUAAGAUUAAAAAUUUUCACUUAGUCCCAAAUCCAAAAGUUUUGAUAACGUACUCUAAUGACAUGUUGUGGGGGGCACUCUUACUUGUUUAUAUAACACUUACAGAGGCAAAUUUGGCAUUAUCUGUCCAAAUCACACAUCACACAUCCCUCUUGACCUAGCAAUCUUCUUUCUGAGAAAUCUUGUACGUGUGAGACAAAAUUAUACACAGUAUUAUUCAUUACCACAUUGUUUUUAAAAGCAAAAGACUGAAAACAAUGCAAAUGUCCAUCAUAAGAGCUCGUAAAAUAAUUUCUGGCAUUUUUGUAGUGGAAUACUAUGAAGCUGUUGAAGGAUAAGGACUCUCAUUACAGAGCUACUUACAGAACUCUAAGUUGAGUUGUGGAACAUAGUGCAUAUUAUGAUAACCUUUGCUUUAAAAAAAAGGAGAAUGAAAUAAACUUGUGUUUAUAUAGAAAAGCUCUGGGAAGAUACAUGAGAAACUAAUAAGAAUAGUUGUGAGAUGGGUGGCAUUGGCAUGGGAAGUGGGUGGAAGGGAGAUAUGUGGGGGACACUAACUCAAAACAUAAAUACCUAUCUAUCUAUCUAGAUGCACACCCACACAUACCGUCUGAAUGAAUGACUCCUCAAAAAGGGAAGAAAAUGAAAAACAGUUCCAGUGGAGUGAAUUCCCCAGUUUCCUUUAUGUGACUUUUGACAAGUCAGUUUACUUAUUUGAUCCUUUCUUCAAUUGUAAAACCGGGAUAAGAUCUGCUUCACAAUGCUCUGGUGAGUACUAAAUUAGAUGUGUGCUCAGCUCAGUGUCUGUCACACAAUAGGCGCUUAAACAUGAGUUGAAUAAAAAAAAUGGUGUGCCAAUCUGUUAGGUAGGCCUAAUUGGCAGUUCAUUAUUUUAAUUUGCAUUUGCCUGAUUUCUUCUGAUUUUGAGCAUCUUUUCACAUUUGGAUUUACACUUUGCUGAAUUCAUAUUCCCAGCCCACCCACUUUUCUGUUGAAUUGCUUGUUCCCUUGACAUGAAUUUCUAAGAGCUCUUUUAAUAUUGUAGAUGUUAAACCUCAUUGUAAAUAUUUUAAAAAAUUUAUUGUAUAUCUAUUAACUUUAACUACGUUAAAGUUUUUGCAUACAAGUUUUAUUUCUUAUACUGACAAAUGCCUACCUUUUUUGAGCAGAAUGUGUAUUCUGCUGUUCUUGGGUGAAGUAUUCUGUAAAUGUCAAUUAGAUCCAGUUGAUUGACGGUACUACAGAGUUUAACUAUAUCCUCACUGAUUUUCUGUCUGCUAGAUCUAUCAAUUACUGAAAGAGGGCUGAUUAAGCCUCCAGCUAAAAUAGUGGAUUUGCCUGUUUCUCCUUGCAGUUCUAUCCAUUUUUGUCUUUGCUGCCUUAAUGGUCUGUUGUUAGACCUACACACAUUAAAGGUUGUUACAUCUUUUCGGCGAAUUGACCUCUUUGUCGUUAUGUAAUGCCCCUUUCUAUCCCUGAUAAUUUUCCUUGUUCUGAAGUCUGUUUUGCCUGAAUAUAGCAACUGUAGUUUUCUUUUGAUUAGUAUUAGCAUAAUAAAAUCUCUGUCCAUUCUUUUACUUUUAACCUAUCUGUGUUUUUACAGUGGUUUUCUUAUGUAUGGUUCCUGAGGAAAUAGAGAUCAAGGGCUGUUGGCUUCCACUCUCCAAAUUAACCCUGGCUAAGUACAGAAACAGGAAGCAAGGGCUGGAGAAGUAAAAUCAAAAACUGUAAGGAAACCCUUGUUAGGGUCAGAGUAAGUUGUUCAGUAUUGUUCCUGCUGCUCCCCCACCAAACGGCCUACUUUGGGACAAUCAGUGCCAGACAACUGAUGACUACAGAAAUCAUCAGCAAUAGAUCAGGCUUCCUAGUGUAGGAUAAUAUAAAGGGUCUGUUAAAGUGAGUUGCUGAUUAAAAAAAAAUGGUGCGGGCUGACCAGAUACUCUAGAGCAGUGGACCUUCACUUCACCACUCCUUCCCCAAACCUCCAGGAUUUCGGUGGAUUACAACAGACUUCUGCUGCUGGAUUAUGAGUUUCAAGGCAAAUUCUUGCUAGAUGAGUUGUCCAGUGAAACAGGAGCCAACAGAGAGCACUAAACUCUUCUGUGGUGCCUGGAGUCCUCUGCUCUCUGUUCCUUAAAUUUGUGGGAAGGGAACUAGGGUCUGCCCUUUUGCUCAUCCUCCACAUCCAUUACCAGAAAGAGCGGUAGAGAGUAUGAGCUUGUGGACCAAAAUACCUAGACAGCUGAGGAGUAUAAUCACUAUAUAACACAACAAAGUAAAACAACAUAUGCCAACUGAAGCAGAAUUAUAGGAGCAGAUAUUUAAUUAAAAAAAAACAAGUUAAUAUUUUAAAAAUUCAAUUAUUCAUUAAACAAAUUUUUACUGAGCACCUACCAAGUGCCAGGCACUAAGGAUUCAUCAGUGAACAAGACAGAUAAAAAUCUUUGUGAACUUUUCUAGUCAUGGGAAAUGGCAUGGGGAACAGAGACAAAAACAUACAAACAACUAAAUAUCUAACCAAAUAAUUUUAAAAUUUCUAGGGUCUUUCCUUUGUUGUUCCAGUGCUUUCAUAUCUGGGAAAAAAUCUUCAUCCAGAGAUUUUAGCUUUACAAUUAAAGUAUUUUAAAUUAUAAAAUAAUAUCGUACAUGGUAAGAAAUUCAAAUAAAAUGAAAGCAGAAAGUAAAAGACCUCAUUAACUCUUCCCCAUACUCCUUUCCACAGAAUUAGUCAUUUUUCUGUGUCCCCUUCCAGAAAUUUCCUAUGCACAAUCAAAUGUGUGUAUGUGUAUAGUUUUAAAAAUUUAUAAUAGGAUACUAUACAUAUUUUCCACAACUUGCUUUUUUAACAUAUAUGGAUCUAUUCCAGAGACAGAGGUUUUAAAGGACAGUAGAAAAUUCAUUUAAAAGGCCAAAUUAUAGAGAUAAUACAAAGA
Long non-coding RNA from Camelus dromedarius (Arabian camel), 9104 nucleotides. RefSeq lists it as uncharacterized. The transcript has 3 exons. NCBI's taxonomy places the organism in Eukaryota, Metazoa, Chordata, Mammalia, Artiodactyla, Camelidae. The record is from RefSeq and is a predicted model, not a curated record.